GCAAGGGGAGCGGCAGACGGGAGAGUAACACGUGGGAACGUACCCUUUGGUUCGGAACAACCCAGGGAAACUUGGACUAUUACAAAAUAAGCCCUUACGGGGAAAGAUUUAUCGCCGAAGGAUCGGCCCGCGUCUGAUUAGCUAGUUGGUGAGGUAACGGCGCACCAAGGCGACGAUCAGUAGCUGGUCUGAGAGGAUGAUCAGCCUCACUGGGACUGAGACACGGCCCAGACUCCUACGGGAGGCAGCAGUGGGGAAUAUUGGACAAUGGGCGCAAGCCUGAUCCAGCCAUGCCGCGUGGGUGAUGAAGGCCCUAGGG
Molecule: ribosomal RNA, 319 nt
Filed under: uncultured bacterium
Lineage: Bacteria
Description: bacterial SSU rRNA
Rfam family: Bacterial small subunit ribosomal RNA
Source: RNAcentral